AAGGAAUAUUGCUCAAUGGGAGAAAUCCUGAAGCAGCAACGCCGCGUGGAGGAUGAAGGGUCUAUGACUUGUAAACUCCUGUAAAGAAGGAAAAAAUUCCCAUUAGAUGGGAGAUGAUGGUACUUCUGGAGUAAGCCCCGGCUAACUACGUGCCAGCAGCCGCGGUAAUACGUAGGGGGCAAGCGUGGUCCGGAUUUACUGGGUGUAAAGGGUGCUCAGGCGGAUUUGUAAGUCAGAGGUGAAAUCUUACAGCUUAACUGUGAAACUGCCUUUGAUACUGCAAGCCUAGAGUAUGGAAGAGAGUGAUGGAAUAUCUGGUGUAGCAGUGAAAUGCGUAGAUAUCAGAUAGAACACCAAUGGCGAAGGCAGUCACUUGGUCCAUUACUGACGCUAAAGCACGAAAGCGUGGGUAGCAAACA
Molecule: ribosomal RNA, 419 nt
Filed under: uncultured bacterium
Lineage: Bacteria
Description: bacterial SSU rRNA
Rfam family: Bacterial small subunit ribosomal RNA
Source: RNAcentral